Mesocricetus auratus (golden hamster) is the source of this 352-nucleotide long non-coding RNA. RefSeq lists it as uncharacterized. The record is from RefSeq and is a predicted model, not a curated record. The transcript has 3 exons. Lineage: Eukaryota; Metazoa; Chordata; Mammalia; Rodentia; Cricetidae.
CAAAUAUUCUACCAACACUAAGAGACCAUGGAUCCCAGCCAGCUCAGACUACUACACCAGAGCUUGACAUCACUUUCACUGCAGUCCACAGCGUGAAAUCUCCAGCCUGUGUCACCUGAUGUAUAGAGUUCAUGAGUUUAAAGACAAGGACAUGUGGAAAGGAUUGAAAGGGAAUCUGAAAUAUGCAGCACUCAGUCUCCACUGUUUUUACCCCACUGCACAUCCCUCUCCCCAUGGAGACUCCAUUCUGUCUCUCCCAUCCUCUAUCUAUCACCUAGGACACACCUCCUUCAGUUCACUGCCUUGUGUCCACAAAAGAAUUGAUGACAACACUUCUCACCUCUAACGGUCU